AGAGUUUGAUCCUGGCUCAGGACGAACGCUGGCGGCGUGCUUAACACAUGCAAGUCGAGCGGUAAGGCCCUUCGGGGUACACGAGCGGCGAACGGGUGAGUAACACGUGGGUAACCUGCCCUGUACUCUGGGAUAAGCCUUGGAAACGAGGUCUAAUACCGGAUACGACCCUUGAAGGCAUCUUUGAGGGUGGAAAGUUCCGGCGGUAUGGGAUGGACCCGCGGCCUAUCAGCUUGUUGGUGGGGUAAUGGCCUACCAAGGCGACGACGGGUAGCCGGCCUGAGAGGGUGACCGGCCACACUGGGACUGAGACACGGCCCAGACUCCUACGGGAGGCAGCAGUGGGGAAUAUUGCACAAUGGGCGAAAGCCUGAUGCAGCGACGCCGCGUGAGGGAUGACGGCCUUCGGGUUGUAAACCUCUUUCAGCAGGGACGAAGCGCAAGUGACGGUACCUGCAGAAGAAGCACCGGCUAACUACGUGCCAGCAGCCGCGGUAAUACGUAGGGUGCGAGCGUUGUCCGGAAUUAUUGGGCGUAAAGAGCUCGUAGGCGGUUUGUCGCGUCGGCCGUGAAAACUUGGGGCUUAACCCCGAGCCUGCGGUCGAUACGGGCAGACUUGAGUUCGGCAGGGGAGACUGGAAUUCCUGGUGUAGCGGUGAAAUGCGCAGAUAUCAGGAGGAACACCGGUGGCGAAGGCGGGUCUCUGGGCCGAUACUGACGCUGAGGAGCGAAAGCGUGGGGAGCGAACAGGAUUAGAUACCCUGGUAGUCCACGCCGUAAACGGUGGGUGCUAGGUGUGGGGGACUUCC
Molecule: ribosomal RNA, 809 nt
Filed under: Lentzea aerocolonigenes
Lineage: Bacteria; Bacillati; Actinomycetota; Actinomycetes; Pseudonocardiales; Pseudonocardiaceae
Description: bacterial SSU rRNA
Rfam family: Bacterial small subunit ribosomal RNA
Source: RNAcentral